RNAcentral lists this small RNA (2438 nucleotides) under Pongo abelii (Sumatran orangutan). RNAcentral's name for it is "retained intron". Lineage: Eukaryota; Metazoa; Chordata; Mammalia; Primates; Hominidae. The record is from RNAcentral.
GUGAAACCCCGUCUCUACUAAAAAUACAAAAAAAAUUAGCCAGGCGUGGUGGUGGGCGCCUGUAGUCCCAGCUACUUGGGAGGCUGAGGCAGGAGAAUGGCAUGAACCCGGGAGGCAGAGCUUGCAGUGAGCCGAGAUCGUGCCACUGCACUCCAGCCUGGGCAACGGAGCGAGACUCCGUCUCAAAAAAAAAAAUCACCCUGCCUUCUUUCCAUUAAUUCGAUCAUUUUUAAGCUAUACUAUUCGUUGUCCUUGCAAAUUUUAUUUAAAGAGAUUUGCAGGGGUAGCUAGGAUAAAUGUACCUUCUUUCAAAAGACAGUAUGCCUUUGUUGUUCUUAGACACUGAAGCUGGCGCUAGCAGGAAAGCCCACCUUACACCAAGAUUCUGGCUUGCAGUUCCCAGUGUGAAUAGGUUGCUCCAGAGUCCCAUCAGCUUUGCCAUUGUUUUCUUUUCCAAAUCAUUGCUCAGCAGCCACUUUGAGAUUCCUGUAGGAAAGCAAUUUUUUAUCUCCUGCUAUUGAGACAGAAGCUAUUAAUGCCAAGAUUUUAAGUUUAAGAAGCUCAAAUGUAUUCACCAGUAGAAAUUAUUUAAACAUUUGUGAUGUGCUCGUAUUGGGCUUGGUGCUAGAGAGUAAAAAUUAAGUAAAUAAUUAAAAGACAACUUGCUUCAAAAGCACUCUCCAUUUCAGAAUCUCAAAAUAGCGUGUGGUAUUCGUGUUCUUACCUGUGGCUAUUACUUGACAGGGUGAUCUGGACCCUCUGGCAUCUCUCAAAUCGCUGACUUACCUAAGUAUCCUAAGAAAUCCGGUAACCAAUAAGAAGCAUUACAGAUUGUAUGUGAUUUAUAAAGUUCCGCAAGUCAGAGUACUGGAUUUCCAGAAAGUGAAACUAAAAGUAAGUAGUAAUCUGCUGCUUGUGAGUCAUUAUAGAGUUGUGUGUUUUUCUUUAUAUUUUUAUUACUGAUUAUUAAAAUUGUCUAAAUGAGUAAAUUUUACCAUUAGUUUGUAAUAAAAGUGGGAGAGAAAAUGGUACAUCAGAUUUUUUUCUAAUAGCAGAGUUUAUGAUAGAACUUUUAAGUUGGAGCUCUUUUAUGUAAUGCUGGCUAUUCCAAAGUUUGCAAAAUGUUGAGGCCACGGUGAACAUUCUUAACAGUGGAUUGUCUGCUUGGAUACAUUCCCAGUGGAGAAUUUAAUGUAACCCACUUUUGUGCAGCUCUGUUUGUUAGAAUGAUUUUUCCGUUUAUUAGGAAUUCAUUAUUUUAUCAUUCAUUUAAUUGCCUUCUUGGUUCCCUGGGAUCCCCUCCUUGGAACUAGGAGAAUGAACUUUCUUCAGGGAGCUUUACCAAAGAAAGAAGACUACUGUGUCUUCUCUUAAUUUGAAAUUGCUUUUUGGUAUUUUCACCAGCCCGGAGUAUUGUAGGAGAGUUCGCUUCCAUGUCUUCUGAGGAAUGCAUCUAAAUGCAUGUGGUAUUCCUAUUUCCAUUAACUCUGUGUGUGGUGUCGCUGUAGGAGCGUCAGGAAGCAGAGAAAAUGUUCAAGGGCAAACGGGGUGCACAGCUUGCAAAGGAUAUUGCCAGGAGAAGCAAAACGUAAGACACGGAUAUCCAACUUAACUCUUCUUCACCUUCAGAAACAUGAUCUGAUCUGUCUGGCAGUUCGUCUCCUACAAAAUUAACCAAAAACUGUGACAUAUUAAUGUGGUAUUAAAUUUGAGUGCUUAUAGUCCAUGUACAUCAAUGGUCCAUACAUCACAAGAAAUUUCUACCAGCUUAGCAGAGCAAAUAUUUCAGUAGUCAGUCUUCAUGUGAUACCAUGUACAUCCUAUUUUCUAUAUAGGAAGAUGAACUGGAUGGUGUUUCUGAAGGAGAGAGUUCUUGUAUCAGUUUGUUAACAAAGAUAAGAUACUACACUGGUUGAAUUACUUUCAAAAGCUUUUGAAAGUAAAAGAGAAGCAACUUCUGUUGGUCUAGGUUUAACAGUUAUGUUCUUCCCCCUGUUAAGUUUUAAUCCAGGUGCUGGUUUGCCAACUGACAAAAAGAAAGGUGGGCCAUCUCCAGGGGAUGUAGAAGCAAUCAAGAACGCUAUAGCAAAUGCUUCAACUCUGGCUGAAGUGGAGAGGCUGAAGGGGUUGCUGCAGUCUGGUCAGAUCCCUGGCAGAGAACGCAGAUCGGGGCCCACUGAUGAUGGUGAAGAAGAGAUGGAAGAAGACACAGUCACAAACGGGUCCUGAGCAGUGAGGCAGAUGUAUAAUAAUAGGCCCUCUUGGAACAAGUCUUGCUUUUCGAACAUGGUAUAAUAGCCUUGUUUGUGUUAGCAAAGUGGAAUCUAUCAGCAUUGUUGAAAUGCUUAAGACUGCUGCUGAUAAUUUUGUAAUAUAAGUUUUGAAAUCUAAAUGUCAGUUUUCUACAAAUUAUAAAAAUAAACUCCACUCACUGUGCU